Non-coding RNA from Pseudogymnoascus pannorum, 1620 nucleotides. It matches the Rfam family "Ascomycota telomerase RNA", at positions 208 to 1695 of the family's 1858-position model. The record is from Rfam. NCBI's taxonomy places the organism in Eukaryota, Fungi, Ascomycota, Leotiomycetes, Thelebolales, Thelebolaceae.
CAGCAACGCGCCUUCCCCACAGUCAUCCAGUACUCAUUUUCCGAAAGGAAUGCCUCUGGCCUCUUCUCCGGUCCAGCAACCUCUCGCGGCGUCGCAUCCUCGAGCUCCACGCGAGUCUCACGAUGAGCAUGCCGCGAUCGGUUCCGCGUCCGGUUGCAGCCCCCCGAUGGGUGGACAACAUGGACUGGAGUUGGGAAUGGGUAUUGGAACUUAACCCUAAGUAAUCGUUGGUUUUUUCAAGUUUUGCAGUUAUGUUGCUCGGCUUGUUUACUACGUCUUUGGUUCGAAACUUGCAAAGCUGAAAAGUGGCGCAACAGAAGAUCAAGGGCCGAAACACAAGCUGGGGAGCCCAGAGUCUUCGGACACAAAAGAGAUGUUCCCAUGAGUCAUUCUGGUAAUACCCUUCAUGAGGGAGCUCGUCAGGUUCAUCUGCUGGGCGUUAUACUCUGAUCAAGUCCCGACUGUUUCUUUGGUGCUCAAGUCAUUGGUGCGGUGGGAUAUACGUGUUGAUUACAUAUAUGCAACUCUCGGUGUGGAGGUUGUAUUCGGGUGCUUUCAAUUUUACUGUUUUCGAUGAGAGUCUUUUGACAACCUUCUGUCUAUCAACUUUGUUGGCAUAUCUCGACCGAAGAGCCGGGCAGAGCUCAAAUACACUGCCUACAUACAUACUGCUUUCUGUGUCAUCUCCUUGGCUAUACUUUCAUUCUUGCAUUGAUCCAACUCGUGGGAAUUGUCAGAAUCUGGCAGAGCGAGGUUUCAACCGCUUCACACGGAGAGUUUUCAGCCCUGAAUGAUCUGGUUUUGCCCUGCCGGCUAGCGGGAUUUCAGGUCUUCAUACAGAGAUGAUGCAGAAGGCGGUACUUGGUUAUACCAAGAAACGGCUGUAUUUGUUUGGCUCCUGCAUUGCCUUGAGCUCGAAGUUGUUGCAAUGUCUCCCAAGAUGACAGAAUGCGAAUUUGGUUCAGGGAAGCAUUCCAUAUGUUCCUAUUGACUACUAUGUCAAUCACUGUAUCCACCCCUUCGUACCUUGAUGAACAAUAAUAGGCCCAAGAAGCCUCCGCCACGGCACCAGCCACAGGCGUUGUUGAUGCUUGCAUCAAAGUCAAGAUCAGCUGCAUCAACCUUCUCCUCAUGGCCCCGUCCAUGAGAUGUCUGGAGGGCGCCAACACAAUGCCAUUUUCUUUUGGAAUUGGCCACCUGGCGUCUUUUCUUGCGCCUCGCGGUUUUUGUUGAUGUCUUUUGUCCGUUUGUGCCCGCUUGUUUUAUACCAGGCGAGGAAUCGAAAAACUUAUCUCUGAGGGCAUUGCUUACAAACAGAGAGAAGUCUGCUAUUUCUCCGCGUGGUGAUGAUCUGGACCCGAGCCUCGAAUUGCCAGUGGACCGGUUGUCUGUCGGAGUUGUGCGCUUCUACCGGGAUAACAGUGUUUUGAUGGAGAUCUAUGGAAGCAUAUUCGCCAGGGUGCAUGUCAGGGGUGAAAUUGGUGUAGUUGCGGUGGUGAGUCCACUCCUUUUGCUCACACGACUGACCUUGCCCUCUGGUGCAUCUCUAGUUAAUGAACGGCCCGGAACCGCUUGUGUGGGACCCAUCUCGAGUUGGAGUCAAGGUUUAGUGCCUGUCCG